GGUUGCGAUCAUACCAGCACUAAUGCACCGGAUCCCAUCAGAACUCCGUAGUUAGGCGUGCUUGGCGAGAGUAGUACUAGGAUGGGUGACCCCCUGGGAAGUCCUCGUGUUGCAACCC
This 118-nucleotide ribosomal RNA is filed under the name Helianthus annuus (common sunflower). The record is from RNAcentral. Lineage: Eukaryota; Viridiplantae; Streptophyta; Magnoliopsida; Asterales; Asteraceae.